UUUCCGGUUGAUCUUGCCGGCCCUGACUGCUAUCGGAUUGAUACUAAGCCAUGCGAGUCUUUGUAGUAAUACAAGGCAGACGGCUCAGUAACACGUAGUCAACCUACCCUAUGGACGGGAAUAAUCUCGGGAAACUGAGGAUAAUACCCGGCAUAUCAUCAUUCCUGGAAUGGUUGGUGAUUAAAAUGAUUCGUCGCCGUAGGAUGGGACUGCGACCUAUCAGCUUGUUGGUGGGGUAAAGGCCCACCAAGGCGAUUACAGGUACGGGCUCUGAGAGGAGAAGCCUGGAGAUGGGUACUGAGACACGGACCCAGGCCCUAUGGGGCGCAGCAGGCGAGAAAACUUUGCAAUGUGCGAAAGCACGACAAGGUUAAUCCGAGUGAUUUCUGCUAAAGGAAUCUUUUGCCAGUCCUAAAAAUACUAGUGAAUAAGGGGUGGGCAAGUUCUGGUGUCAGCCGCCGCGGUAAAACCGGCACCUCAAGUGGUCAGGAGGAUUAUUGGGCCUAAAGCAUCCGUAGCCUGCUCUGUAAGUUUUCGGUUAAAUCUAUAUGCUCAACGUAUAGGCCGCCGAAAAUACUGCAGUGCUAGGAAGUGGGAGAGGUAGACGGUACUUGGUAGGAAGGGGUGAAAUCCUUUGAUCUAUCGAUGACCACCUGUGGCGAAGGCGGUCUACCAGAACACGUUCGACGGUGAGGGAUGAAAGCUGGGGGAGCAAACCGGAUUAGAUA
Molecule: ribosomal RNA, 728 nt
Filed under: uncultured archaeon
Lineage: Archaea
Description: bacterial SSU rRNA
Rfam family: Archaeal small subunit ribosomal RNA
Source: RNAcentral